This 460-nucleotide ribosomal RNA is filed under the name uncultured bacterium. Its description in RNAcentral is "partial 16S ribosomal RNA". It matches the Rfam family "Bacterial small subunit ribosomal RNA", at positions 338 to 795 of the family's 1533-position model. The record is from RNAcentral.
CCUACGGGGUGCAGCAGUGAGGAAUAUUGGUCAAUGGACGAGAGUCUGAACCAGCCAAGUAGCGUGAAGGAUGACUGCCCUAUGGGUUGUAAACUUCUUUUAUAUGGGAAUAAAACGUUCCACGUGUGGGAUUUUGUAUGUACCAUAUGAAUAAGGAUCGGCUAACUCCGUGCCAGCAGCCGCGGUAAUACGGAGGAUCCGAGCGUUAUCCGGAUUUAUUGGGUUUAAAGGGAGCGUAGGUGGAUUGUUAAGUCAGUUGUGAAAGUUUGCGGCUCAACCGUAAAAUUGCAGUUGAAACUGGCAGUCUUGAGUACAGUAGAGGUGGGCGGAAUUCGUGGUAUAGCGGUGAAAUGCUUAGAUAUCACGAAGAACUCCGAUUGCGAAGGCAGUUCACUGGACUGCAACUGACACUGAGGCUCGAAAGUGUGGGUAUCAAACAGGAUUAGAUACCCUAGUAGUC